This is a long non-coding RNA of Onychostoma macrolepis, 5286 nucleotides long. RefSeq lists it as uncharacterized. Lineage: Eukaryota; Metazoa; Chordata; Actinopteri; Cypriniformes; Cyprinidae. The transcript has 3 exons. The record is from RefSeq and is a predicted model, not a curated record.
AGCUAGAACAGAUUUGUUAUACUAGAGCUGCAUAAUUUCUUUGUUGCAUAUUUAUAAAAAAUGGUAAACAAAGAGUGAAGAAAUAAAUAUUUAAAAAAAGAUUGUUUAAUUAAAAGCAUAAAUAUUUCCACUAAAUAUUAAAAUGAAUUGCUAGCAAUACAAAACCAAGCUAGACAGUAGGUAAGAAAUAUUUAUGGGCAGCAGAUUUUCACUAGAGCCAUGUGGCAGGUGUGGCAAAAAAGUUAAUUUUGGACUGCAACCACAGAAGACUGUAGUGCAUAAAGCAGGCCUUGUUUUGAUUUGAAACAUAAGGGCAUUGGGCUUUGACUACGGGGAGUAAUUCUAGCAUUCAUAUGUUGAGCAGAAAUAGCACAUCACCAGUGGUUUAAAUCUUUUUGGCAGGAGUGAAGAUGGCCAAAACAAGCUGGGCAGCUGUGUGAACUCUAUAGCACAGUGUGCUUGUCUUUGAAGAGCAUUUCAGGGCUCUUGUGCUAAAAGAUGGAGCUCAAUUCCACUCAGAUUUAUAGCCAAUUCAAAACAACAGUUCAAUUCACAAGACAAUUCACUGGGUAACCAGUAACAUAGAGGCAUACUGGAUAGUUAAUCCUGUUUAAAAACUAGAAAUCACGAAAUCAACUUUUAAUACUACUAGCACUUCUCAUACCUGUAGCUAAUAAUUAUAAAGCUUAAAGAGCUUGUCAAACUGAAAGAAUAAAAUUUAAAAAAAAUAAUAAUAAUCACUGAGCCAACAUUUAAUGUAGGCCACCAGUGACUGUAAAUGCAUAAGGCAAAUAUAGCCACUGUGAUAAAGAAAGGCGCCUGUCUCACACAGCCACCAUUCUGAAAUCAAUUAGCCAUUUACUCACAUGAUAUCCUGUCCUCUGACACGGUCCAAUUAAUAGGAAACUAGUCUGGGCAUGUGUUGGGUGAUCAGUAUAUAGGCCUGGAGAUAUAUAGCCACCCUGAAGUCCAUAAACCUUAAUGAGGGCAAAAGCCCUUUGAAGAACACCAAAGAAACUCAUUGGAACAGCCAUCCUUCAUUUCCCCCCACGAGGAUAUAGCGACUAAGCACACAGUCUUUUUUUACUCCAUCACUCUAUCAUGGCGACAGUGUGAAUCCUCAUGUUGUGUCUAAAACAGACUACAGCAGGCUAUUGCAUAACAUUCUCAUUUAUUUCACUCUACAGGCUUCAGUGAGCAGAUGAGUAUUUACUCUUUGUAAAGAAACUGGCUCAUUGAACACCGAUCAUAGAGGCAUCAUGUUUCAACGAGUGAAAGAAUAAGCCCUGUCCCACGAGGGCCGUGAGACUAGGCCUGGGCGAUAUCGAUAUUUAUCGAUGGUACACCUUCUUUGAUAGCACGAAUACAUGCUGAAUUGAGUGCUGUGCUUGCCUGUGAUGAGGAGAUUGUGAAUAAAAAAAUGAAUAUUAGUCGAAUUUAAAAUAAACAUUUGCAUUUGAAUGCAAAAAUAGUACAAUCAAAUUCACACAGAAUGCAAAUUCAGCACAUUUUUUAGACGGACAAAUAUGACUGCUGCACUCACAUCUCACAGAAGAGAUGUAUAGAAAGCCAUGCAAAGUUAAAACAGUUUAAACAGUUUUAGAAAGCAUGUCACGAAUUUGUGUUGAUUUAUUCCCUUUCACUGCGUCACGUAUGUUUUUAAAAGCAAUCUGUGAUGGGCGAUUCAGCUCUUUGUUUUAAGCAAUGCAUAAAUACAUGAUGCUGUUUUGCUCAUAAUUGUUUAUGCAGUUUAUGAAAUUAUAUUUGAUUUAUAUGAAUUAAUUUAGACGUAAUGCAUGUUUUUUAUAGACAGUUAUUUCCUUGCGUUGACAAUUUAAUGUGCUGCAUUAUUUUACUCAAUGCGCCCUUCUGUGGCCUCAGGGAACAAGCCAAAAGUUUCCUUAAGACCUAUUUAAUCUGCAUAUAAAAUAUUACAAAUUACAUAUUUAAUUUCUAUUUUGUGUUUGACUGUUAAAACAAAAAAUAUAUGUUUUUUGUCUCAAAUUGGGUUAAUUUAAAAAUACAGUAGUUAAAUUUAAACAUUUUUUCUAUUGCUAUUUGUUUUAAAAAAAGGUUAUUAAAAAUGUCAAUAAAUAUCGAUACCAAACAAUAUGAAACAUUAUAUCGUUGAUAAAGUUUUUAGCUAUAUCGCCCAGCCCUACGUGGACCAGUGUUUUUCAGAUGCAGGUGUCCUAUAUGUUCAAAAGACUUUGAUGUCCAGCAGUUAAGCUUCUGAAUGUCACCCCGAAAUGACAUUCAUCAUAACUCGUUUUACUUCCAUAAUGUGAUGUAUUUCUGAGGGAAUGGCAUCUCUAUAUGUCAAAUCUAUUGUUGUUUGCCAUUUUAACUUCAAACUCCAUCAAGAUGCUUUUAACUAGCUUUUUACUUCACAUGACGUUAAUUGAUGGCUUGGAGUCGUGGAUUGCUGUGAUGUUUUUAUCAUCUGUUUGGCCUAUGUAUAAAAUGUUGCCAUAUUUCAUAGUUUGCAACAUAGCCUAAAAAUAUGCAAGAUGCUUAAAAAAACCAGCACCAAAGACUGUUAUAUUGAAAGCCAUUUCUCUUCUAACAAAUAAAUAAACAGGAGGAUUCUAAGCAACACACCACACAAUUGAGACCUAUAAAUAAAAUGCACAGUAUGUCUCAUAAAUAUAGGAAGUACUUUAUAUACAUUAAAGAAUUGUUAAUAUGCUAUUUAAUGAGCUACACCAAAAAGAGAAAAAAGAAGUAACUUAUUAACUCAAUUUCAUUAUUAAAUCUAAUGAAGCAGAAAAGCAAUCAGACUCAGUUUUGCUUGAAUGAGCGGUAAAUGUACGUGCCUGUCACAUCUGUGCCACACAUGAACAUGCCUACACCCAAACAUUAUACACCACUCCAUGAAGUCAGACAGUGGGGAAAAAACCCACUAAGCCCAUUGGUUCUGCUAUCAUGUCAGGCCAGUUACAUAACUCACUUGUGAGUCACGAGCAGAAGACAUGCUGGCCAAGGGUUUGUAGAGGACUUAUUGGUAUGCAUAGGAGUCAAGUAAUGUCUUUCUUUUUUUUUCUUUUUUUUUUUUUUAAUUAGGCCGCAAAAAGGAAAUAAAACGAUGCGUCCCAGUGUUUCCCACAGCAUUUUGCGAGUCUACAGGGGUUGAAAAAGCACGUUAAACUGGCAGCACAUGCAGAUGACAAGCCAAUAUGAGAUGCUGAAUACACAGUUUAACAGUUGAGCCCAAGCCUCCGUUACUAAUUAGAAAACGUUACUUUAGAACCAGUAACGAAGAAACACUGAGUUGCUUCAUUAAAAGCUUAUUGUAUUACUGUAUUAAAAGCUGUGUAAUAUGUGUAGUACACUGUAAAAAAGUAUUUCGCAGUUUAGUUGUUUCAAUUAAUGUUUUUAAGUUGACUCAACUUUCAGUUCAUUAGUUUGUUCAUUCAACUUAAAAUUUUAAAUUUCACCGUCUCAACUAGUUCGUUAAGUUGACAAAACUAGCCAUUUGCCCCCUCAACUUAAAAAAAUGUGUUGAAUCAAUUUAAUAACGAUAUCACGUCACUUAUCGCGAGAUCACGUGAAGACUUGCAGAAAGAAGACGUUGGUCAGCCAUCUUGAUGAGCUUCUCCUCAGAGCUUGAAAAUGUUUUCAAACCAGCACUUUUGGUAAGUAAAUAUUUGUAUUUAUUGGUUUAACAUGUGUACAAUUACGUAUGUUGUCUAAGAAUAGUACGAGUAUGGUUUAAAGCAUCGCAUUUUGUAGUUAAAUGGAUACCAGCAUUACUUUCGCGACACUCCUCUUAAGCCUCAAAAUACACGCGGUUCCACAGUAUUAUUCAUAUAAUUAUUAAACUAAUAUUCUCCCAUGCUAUACUGAGCUGAACUUAUCUGGAGAAUAUACUGUUUGGUAUGUAUUAUUUGAGCCCAGUGCUGCAUUAGAGACCGUUCAAACAGAGCACGAGACGGAGCGCGACGAACAACUGUGUGUAUUUAGAACGGCGGGAAUUUUAAAAAAUGACCUUAUGACCGAUUAAAAUUAGGGGAAAUAAACAAGAUUACUGCUCGAACUGUCAUUUUUCUGCACGUUGUAAGUGAAACGAACGAGCACCUCUCAGAGUUGGCUUGGAGAGCGUGUAUUUAUCUGACAUAAUCUUUCAGAUGAGGUUCUAACGGUACAAACUCUUCUUUCAGUUACAGUACAUAAGUGCCUCGUCGGAACCCAUGGCAACGCUGCGUGAAUAUACGGUCGGUUAAAAAAUUGAAGGUAUGAAAAGUAAUAAUGGCAUAUAUCUUGUAUAAAAAGCCCUGUGAUAAGGAUAAUCACAAAUGUGUAAAAUUAGCUUUUCUGUUGUUUUGUUCUAAUUUCCUGUAUUAUGUAAUUUAAAAGCCUUUUCUGGAUUGUAAAAUAUGGUUUUGGUAAUUGAAACGUAAACUAGCAAUGACAUUUGACUUUCGCUGUCAAGAUUAUUUAUUUGUAUUUAUAGUGUUGUUUUAACAUGUUUCUGUAUUUUCCAUGUUUAUGAUAUUCUGGAAUGACUAAAGAUCAGCACAGAAUUCUUGUGGAUGGACCUCAGCAAGUCCUUCUGCAGUUGUAUCCAUCAAAGUGCUAUGCAGACACAAUGGGAAUGACUGUCACAUUGUAGAGCUUGGACAAAUUCACACAGGUUCUCAAGAGGAAUUCAUCAAGGACAAGUCUGUUGGCAUUAUAGUUGUUGGGUGACCAAAAUGAGCACCAUCAAUCUGCAGUGAUGUGGUCCCGGUAAUAGAAGAAGAAAUCUUGUUUAUCUGCAGUUGUAACACGCAUCUCAUGAAUUGAGGUGACAUGGGCAUCUUGAUUGUGACUGAGGAGGAGGAAUGGGAGGUGCUUCCAAAAUAAACCAAUGACGUUGCUAUCAUUUUGGAAGAGUGUCUUGUCGCCAUCAAUAUCUGUGACGUCCCGAAAGCAUUUGUGCUCCUGAUGGGUCGUCUUUACAUCAUUAACAAAACACAGUACAGUUCUGAUGUUCUCAAAACUUUGCACGAACAUUGGUGGGAGUAACUGUUCUUCACGUGUUUACGGGCUACGAAACAUGCUACUCUGCAAAAAGUAGGCUUUUUGGUUGGUUUUUGCACUUUGUUCAACUCACAUUUUUUGCCAUGUUAUGGCAUCUCUUUUUAAAAUUUUGAAUGCACUUUGAUGCAUGUUCUGACUUCUGACUUAUAUUGAAAUGGAAAAUUACAGAAUUACUCAUCUGUUCUUUUGAUUAAAUGUGCAUUAGUGAAAGGAAUGUAGAUAUUUACUGCAAUUGUUCCAAAGAAAUUAAAUGUUAAUAUGAAA